Molecule: long non-coding RNA, 2631 nt
Organism: Salvia splendens (bonfire salvia)
Lineage: Eukaryota; Viridiplantae; Streptophyta; Magnoliopsida; Lamiales; Lamiaceae
Exons: 3
Source: RefSeq, a predicted model, not a curated record
CUGGAUUAGGUCGUGUUGGAAAUCGAGAUCGGAGCAAAGUCGAAACGGAAACAAGAACACGAGAGAUUUAACGUGGUUCGGCGUAAGCCUACAUCCACGGGAGAGUAACGGAUCGAUUUACUUCAAUCACGAUCAAGAACUACAAUCAUACAACAAGAUCACACACUCAAGAACAAGCUACUCUCUCUUCGCAUAUGAACUCACAUCAAACCGAAGACUAUACAAGCUAGUUCCUCACAAAGAUAAACCUGGAGAUAUUCUCUCACUGAUCUAUGCGGCUUGCAUGAGCAUUUAUAGGAAUCGCAUCACCUCAUGCAGUUGCAACUGCCGCUGUAGCCGUUGCACAACUAAAUCUUGAACUCUUUCUUCUUGAUCAUGUGUUGCACACUCCACGCUCGGUUCCGAUGUACCAUCACUCGUUGUUAUCAUCACAAAAUUCCUAACAAUCCUCCACCUUUUGAGAUGAUACAACACAUCUUUCGAUCACUUUGUUCUUUGUUGAUCUCAUGUCCGAGUAGCGCCAAUCUUGACUAUUAUUGUCAGCAUCCUGACUCCGAGAAUCAUACCCAGAUCCUCCUUUAUCACUUCCUUGAUCAGCCACAACGCCCCCACCGGACGAUCGCCUCCACCGGACGACAAAACCUCCACCUAAUCUGAAUCUUCCCCGAUUCAGAAUUGGAGUUGCUGAUCCCUAGAGAUAUCACACAUCUCUCAUAAGUGAUAACCAAAUUUCUGUCAAGAUUAUGCCACCUUCACCGCUUAGGAUGACACGGCUGUUGCACCUCUCUCACGGACAAUUCAACAAACAAGGCUUCACAGCCUCCUCCAGAUCGCAUUCCCGCGAGCAUCCAUUGAUCGGCGUGUUGUACGUGAUGAUGUCUGGCCUUAUCCCCGAUCUCCUCACUUCACCAAGAAGCUCAACCUCGGAGACUCAACAACUGAAAACAGCUCACUGACUAAAAACUUCUCUCAGACAUUUCGUCGAACACGCUCUGCUCGAAUUGCCGAGCUUGGUGCCGAACUGCCGAACUGCCGAGCUUAGUACCGAACUGCCGAGCUUGGUACCGAAUUGCCGAGCUUGGUGCCGAACUGCUGAGCUUGGUGCCGAACUGCCGAGCUUAGUACCGAACUGCCGAGCUUGGUGCCGAACUGCCGGACUUGGUGCCGAACUGCUGGACUUGGUGCCGAACUGCUGAGCUUGGUGUCAGCCACUAAAUCCAACGCCCUUCUCGGCAUCCAAGCAAUCAGUGUUCCAGCAUACCUUUUCUCUCACAGGCAUUCGUCAAUUUACUUCUCUUUCAGGCAUUUCGUCGAACACCAUCUUUGCACCAUCCAAGAUGUCUCACCAUCGUCGUCUGCCUCUGAAGCAUCAUCUCAUCAAGGCUCUCAUGGCCUUCAAUAUCCAUCAACAUCAUCAUAGGCUUCGGAAAUGAGUUGCAUACCGCCAUACUCGAUCCCAUUAUGGAUCAUCAGUAUGAGCAACGAUCAUUGAGCGAGCUACACCAACGAUCACCAAGAACUUCCCUCUUUCUUGAUCGAUGAACCUUCGAGCUCUCUCCACAAUGAAUCGCCAAUGCAGAAAACUUCUCAACAAUAUCGCUCAAAGCUGCACGAACCAAAACUGACCACACCGUCGUCCCCUUCAACUGACGUGAUCAAGAACUCAAUCUCCUUCUCCAAAACCGCUGCAUUCGAGACGCUACUUUCAGCAUCUCCCUUCGUUCUUCAUCUCCGACUUCUUCCAACGAUUCUCCUCCUUCCCACAGACGGCGCCACUUGUUGGAAAUCGAGAUCGGAGCAAAGUCGAAACGGAAACAAGAACACGAGAGAUUUAACGUGGUUCGGCGUAAGCCUACAUCCACGGGAGAGUAACGGAUCGAUUUACUUCAAUCACGAUCAAGAACUACAAUCAUACAACAAGAUCACACACUCAAGAACAAGCUACUCUCUCUUCGCAUAUGAACUCACAUCAAACCGAAGACUAUACAAGCUAGUUCCUCACAAAGAUAAACCUGGAGAUAUUCUCUCACUGAUCUAUGCGGCUUGCAUGAGCAUUUAUAGGAAUCGCAUCACCUCAUGCAGUUGCAACUGCCGCUGUAGCCGUUGCACAACUAAAUCUUGAACUCUUUCUUCUUGAUCAUGUGUUGCACACUCCACGCUCGGUUCCGAUGUACCAUCACUCGUUGUUAUCAUCACAAAAUUCCUAACAGGUCGAGGUCUGGAUCUUCAAGUGUCGGAUUGUUGGGGGCAAGGAGUUGUUGGUAAAACUCCACUGCGGACUUUUUAAUCUCGGCUUCCUCGGUGAGCUCCUGCCCAUUGGCACUAAUUGAGUGGAUGCGGAGAAGGACCCUCUUUUGUUUCACCCAGCUUUGAUAGAACCGGGUAUUUUUAUCUCCCUCGGCAAGCCACCUCAAGGCUGCCUUCUGUCGCAAAAAAUCUUCUUCCAUUCUCAACAAAAGGAUGUACUCGGCAAUGUGUUUGUUGAUUGCUGUCCUGUGAUUCGGUGUCGGCCUUGCCUCGAAACUAGCUUGAGCCACAGCAAUUUCUUCCUCCUUUUCCUUUAGGUUAGCAUGGAUGUUCCCAAAAACCUCUUUGUUCCACUCCUUAAGAGCCUUUUUAACUCUGGCCUGC